GUGCCUAAUACAUGCAAGUCGAACGCGUUGGCCCAAUUGAUUGAUGGUGCUUGCACCUGAUUGAUUUUGGUCGCCAACGAGUGGCGGACGGGUGAGUAACACGUAGGUAACCUGCCCAGAAGCGGGGGACAACAUUUGGAAACAGAUGCUAAUACCGCAUAACAGCGUUGUUCGCAUGAACAACGCUUAAAAGAUGGCUUCUCGCUAUCACUUCUGGAUGGACCUGCGGUGCAUUAGCUUGUUGGUGGGGUAACGGCCUACCAAGGCGAUGAUGCAUAGCCGAGUUGAGAGACUGAUCGGCCACAAUGGGACUGAGACACGGCCCAUACUCCUACGGGAGGCAGCAGUAGGGAAUCUUCCACAAUGGGCGCAAGCCUGAUGGAGCAACACCGCGUGAGUGAAGAAGGGUUUCGGCUCGUAAAGCUCUGUU
This 430-nucleotide ribosomal RNA is filed under the name Limosilactobacillus fermentum. RNAcentral describes it as "bacterial SSU rRNA". It matches the Rfam family "Bacterial small subunit ribosomal RNA", at positions 44 to 437 of the family's 1533-position model. Lineage: Bacteria; Bacillati; Bacillota; Bacilli; Lactobacillales; Lactobacillaceae. The record is from RNAcentral.